RNAcentral lists this long non-coding RNA (1396 nucleotides) under Setaria italica (foxtail millet). RNAcentral's name for it is "long non-coding RNA (SITA_LNC005468)". Lineage: Eukaryota; Viridiplantae; Streptophyta; Magnoliopsida; Poales; Poaceae. The record is from RNAcentral.
CAUUGGCAUCACCUUUAUUCUCUUGUGGCUGACCAUCUUCCAUGUUAGUUGUCAACUUUAAGAACUGCUCUUGUGAGGAACUAUUGUCCUGUUCGUUGCUCUCUGCUGCAGUGGUCUUGUAGGAAUUUUGUUCUUCUGCUGUAGCAGGUACAGAACCAUUGGUGUUUUCAGAUUUGUCAGAUACCACAGCGUCAGAAGUUGCAUUUUCAUUGUUUGCACCCGCUACAAUGCUCUCAUCCUGCUGGCUGCUCUCUGAUGCAUUAGUGAUACUGGAAUUUUCUUCUUCUGCUGGAGCAGGCAUGGAGUCACCAGAGUUUUCAGGUUUCUCAAGUGCCACUGUGUCUGAAGUUGCAUUUUCGUUGUUUGCUCCCACAACAUUGCUCUCAUCCUGGUGGUCACUCUCUGAUGCAGUAGUGUUGUUGGAGCUAUCUUCUGUUGUAGCAGGUAUGGAAUCACUAGAAUUUUCAGAUUUAUCAGGCUCGGCUUCUUUUUGCUGCAAAAGUUCUUUUAUACUUGUUGUCUGAUCAGGGUUUGAAGCAGCUGUAUUCUCUUUCAUUUGGUUGAUAUGGCUCUCUUUCUCCACAAGAGCUGCUUCUAGUUCUUUCUGGGUGUUGGUAAGAUAUGUGGUGGUAGUUUCUGAAUCCAUGAGCUUGUUUUUCAAUUCUGCCCUUUCAAUGCUUAGGACAGAUGUUUUGGCUUCCAGUUCGUCCACUUUCCUUCUCAUCUCUUUAUUAAUUUCCUUUUCUUUCUGUCAAAAAGGAGAUAGCAUUAUUUAGCUGAUGAGAAUUCUUGAAUGGUAGGCUGGAUAAAUAACUCAUAGAAGUACAGAACACACUAUCAGAAAACGCCGGUAGAAGGCUCUAAAUGUGCUACAGCCAUGGCAGACCUUCAUCUCAGUAUUAUUAUUUUCAGAGUAAGAGGGUGUUCAAUUGAACAUAUCGAUGUAUUUGGCUACUUGCGUUUUGAAAGUAAAUUGUGAUGUGAAGCCUCCAGCUAAAGUAUGUCUGCAAAAUGGUAUCAAUAUGGAAAGUCUUCUCAGGGGCUGAAGUAUAUGGACUAACUUAUGAAGAGGCACGGUUCUAGAUUGGACAGUAUCCUCAUGGUUUGGGUUUGCAAAGAUUUUGCGAGUGCAAUACUGUAGUUUUUGUUGUAUUCAUACUUCUACAGAUCCUGUUUAAAUUUUUUUCUUCUCCCGUGAAAAUUGCAAUGUUCCCAUUGCAACUCCUGCAGAAUUUGUGUCUACAUACACCCUAAAUUGGUAGUAUUAUGGCUCGGCCAUGACAAUACCUAAUGCAGAUAGAAUUAUACUUUGCAUGAGAUUGUACUAUUUCUAGUAUUUUACCUACUAGGCUACUGCACCCUCCGUCCCAAAUUAUACGUUGUUUGGACUUUUCUA